This is a non-coding RNA of Heterocephalus glaber (naked mole-rat), 1141 nucleotides long. NCBI's taxonomy places the organism in Eukaryota, Metazoa, Chordata, Mammalia, Rodentia, Bathyergidae. The record is from RefSeq and is a predicted model, not a curated record.
UUAGAGGGGAGGAAUUUAGCUAGAGCUGAGUUGACCUUGGCUGGAAGUGAAGUUAGCUGAUUGCACUACUUUUAAUGUAACACAGCCGAAUUAUGGAAGGGCAAGAAGCUUGUGCCACUAUAGCCUGAUAAUACUGAGCAGAAGUGUUUACUACAUCUCCUUCUUUCUCUUUUGGAAACAGCAGCAGCAACAGGGUACAAGGAAGACUUUCAUAAUCUACUGAAUCUACAUCUUUUAGGCACCUGAAUUACAAAGCCUUAACAAGAAGAUUGGAAGAGAAUCAAGGCCGGAGAAGUUCUUGAAGCAAUGGGAGAGUGACUUGACAAGAACCAGAUCCCAGAAAUCUGCCUGUGUUGAAUCAGUUCUGACUGUGAUGAGUGCAAUUAGAGGACCCAUGGAUUGUGGAUUGUUUGAAGGACAGAAGUUAACAAAACAGAUGUUGUUCAUAUGUUGAAUAUUUAAGCAGUUCUCUCUUCACUCUCUUUUAAGGCUCCAGGUAAUGCAGAAAUAUAAAAAGAUUCACAGUCUCUACUAGAUUAAUACAUACUGGUAUCAACAGGGCAUGCAUUAUGAAAAAUAAGAGGUUAAACUAGCAUUGAUUGUCUAUGUCAGUUUGAUUUCCCCUCCCAAUGACAAUUGUAGUCUAUUUAAAAAAUCUCUUUAGCAUUCCAGGAGGGGGGGAGUGGAAGAAGGAGAGGAAGACAGAGUCAGAAGAACUGAGAAGAAUAGACAGAAAAAGACAGAGAAAGAGAGAGAGAUGCAGAGAAAAAUAGAGAGGAAGAGAGCUAGGGAGAACAAUAGAGAGAAGGAGAGGGAAAAUGUUUGCUUCUUGUGAGAGACUAAUUUAAGUGGUGAACAUUCUUGUUUUCUCACCCCUGAACAUAGCUGUGUGACAGUGGAAAGCAAUCUGUAUGUGGUGGUGCUGAUAUUAUUCCUACCUCAAAAUAAGCCCAAAUAGAUUUGAAGGCAUAAAAUUUCAAAAUCUCAAGAAACUCUGAAAAUGCACCAGAAUUGGUUUUGAAGAACUUCUGAUUAAGGAAAAAAGAUUGUAAAACAGAUUUCUCUUUAGCUUAGAAGAUACUGUUUUAACUCAACACAUUUCAGGCUAAUCGAGUUUAGCAUUUUCACUAAUUAAAGUCAU